This 571-nucleotide small RNA is filed under the name Pongo abelii (Sumatran orangutan). Its description in RNAcentral is "processed transcript". Lineage: Eukaryota; Metazoa; Chordata; Mammalia; Primates; Hominidae. The record is from RNAcentral.
GAGAAUAAUAAAAAACCUGGUAACUACAAAUCUAUGUUACGACCAGAGGUUGGCACCACUUCACAAGAUUCAGCUCUCUUAGAUCAGGAAUUGUAUAACUCCUUCCAUUUCUGGAGGACUCCUCUUCCUGAAAUAGAUCUAGACAUAGAGCUUGAACAGAACUCUGGGGGAAAACCCAGCCCAGAGGGACCAGAGGAAGAAUCUGAAGGCCCUGUGCCCAGUUCUCCAAACAUCACCAUGGCCACCAGAAAGGAACUGGAAGAAAUGAUAGAAAAUCUAGAGCCCCACAUUGAUGAUCCAGAUGUUAAAGCCCAAGUAGAAGUGCUGUCCGCUGCACUGCGUGCCUCCAGCCUGGAUGCGCAUGAAGAGACUGUCAGUAUAGAGAAGAGAAGUGAUGUGCAAGAUGAACUGGAUGUAAAUGAGCUACCAAAUUGUAAAAUAAAUCAAGAAGAUUCUGUGCCUUUAAUCAGCGAUGCUGUUGAGCAAGCAACACAGUAUUCUGAGCAGAAGAUCGGGACUUGAGGCCAUGUUGCGGAGGGCCAGUGACAUUAUCUGGACUCUGGAGUGUGAG